This is a long non-coding RNA of Candoia aspera, 507 nucleotides long. RefSeq lists it as uncharacterized. The record is from RefSeq and is a predicted model, not a curated record. NCBI's taxonomy places the organism in Eukaryota, Metazoa, Chordata, Lepidosauria, Squamata, Candoiidae. The transcript has 2 exons.
GUGGCAUAUAAAAGGGGGAUAUAGGGGAAGGGAAAAAACAGCAAAAAUAACCCACCACCUGUUCUGGAUUUUAAAAACUUCUACCUGCCCAUUCAAUCAAUUGCUUAACAGCUGUAUUUUUAAAUUUUCACUAAACUACAGCUGUACAACAGGUAAGUUCAGCAACAUCUAGAGGAUCACCUCUUCCACAAAAUUCUAUUACUGGCCAUGGAGACUGGAGCUCUUCAAAACAAAGGCUCAGCAAUAAAAAGGAGUUGUUGGCUAGAAGGGAUAAUUCACAACAGAAUAACCUCAACAGUUUUGAAAAAUACACUACUGUAAUGAAAGUAACUGAAAUGAAAACAUAUUCUUCCCUUGCUUAAUCCAUUAUCCCAUUAUUUAGGAUCCACUGUAUUUAUGUUUAGACUCCAAACUUCUUGGGCAAUGCUCUGUCACUCUCUUUUGUAAAGCACUUUAUAGAUGGUUCUAUAUAAAUGUAAAUAAAUAUAUUUACUGGUGUGAAUGUCA